Molecule: long non-coding RNA, 606 nt
Organism: Heterocephalus glaber (naked mole-rat)
Lineage: Eukaryota; Metazoa; Chordata; Mammalia; Rodentia; Bathyergidae
Source: RefSeq, a predicted model, not a curated record
GGGGAGAAGUCAGAGUUGAAAGAAACAUGGUCAUACUCAAUCGUGGUUAAAAUAUCUUCUUUUUUAAAAGGAUCAUUUUUAUUAGUGUACAUAUGGCUUAUAUCCAGAUGUUCCCCAAGAACCUCAUACUGAGUGCUCAUAGGCGAGUCUUUUGGAAGCUCCAGCCUUCUCCGUUUGCUUCCUGGAUGCCAUGUCAUGGACAGCUUUUCUCUACCCAGGCCCUUCCACUGUGCCACCAACCAGGCAAGGACGACUGAAUCUUCUAAAACUUUCAGGAAAACAUGCUGCACGUAAACACAUUGUGAGAAUUCCCCCCAGAAUUUUGGAAGCAACAUGAGCAGCAGGAUUUAAGCCUCAUUAGAUUUGCGGUAAAUCCAAUUUUGGAGCUGAGAUAAUGAAAACCAUGGCCUCCGUCUUCUCCUGAGUUCCAUCUUAUGCUGGCCUCCUAUUGAUUCAACCCAACAGGAAGCCAGGGUGCCAGGAAGCCAAGUGCAUAGUGAAGUCAGGGCUUCCGGAGAAAAUCUCCAUGACGGUGUAGGCGAUGACUUUUUGUAUUUGACCUCAAACCCAAGCAGAAAGGCAAAAAUAAACAAGUGGAAUUACAUC